Molecule: ribosomal RNA, 458 nt
Filed under: uncultured bacterium
Lineage: Bacteria
Description: partial 16S ribosomal RNA
Rfam family: Bacterial small subunit ribosomal RNA
Source: RNAcentral
CCUACGGGAGGCAGCAGUGAGGAAUAUUGGUCAAUGGGCGAGAGCCUGAACCAGCCAAGUCGCGUGAGGGAGUACUGCCCUAUGGGUUGUAAACCUCUUUUGUCGGGGAGCAAAAGCCGGACGUGUCCGGCUGUGAGAGUGCCCGAAGAAAAAGCAUCGGCUAACUCCGUGCCAGCAGCCGCGGUAAUACGGAGGAUGCGAGCGUUAUCCGGAUUUAUUGGGUUUAAAGGGUGCGCAGGCGGGUUUUUAAGUCAGCGGUAAAAUCGUGGGGCGCAACCCCCUCCAGCCGUUGAAACUGGGGAUCUAGAGUGUGCGAGAGGUAUGCGGAAUGCGUGGUGUAGCGGUGAAAUGCAUAGAUAUCACGCAGAACCCCGAUUGCGAAGGCAGCAUACCGGUGCACAACUGACGCUCAGGCACGAAAGCGUGGGUAUCGAACAGGAUUAGAUACCCCAGUAGUC